Molecule: long non-coding RNA, 7384 nt
Filed under: Lactuca sativa (garden lettuce)
Lineage: Eukaryota; Viridiplantae; Streptophyta; Magnoliopsida; Asterales; Asteraceae
Description: long non-coding RNA (LSAT_LNC002610)
Source: RNAcentral
UCACACUUAGAUGAUAUGAGUGUUAAUGAGUUAUGUAAUGUUAUAGGAGGGUUGUAGCUCGUUGGUUUGUGCGCGAGUGAUUUCAGGAGUUGCUAGCUUUCAGCACUUACGAGGUGAGUCUUCUCACUAUACUGUACCCGGAAGGGUUUGACUGUGUGACCGGAAGGUCAAGUAUGUUAUGUAUUAUGUUUAUAUGCUAUAAGUGGUAAGUUAAGUGUUAUAUGGAUAUGUAUGCUAUAAGUGGUAAGUUAAGUGUUAUAUGGAUAUGUAUGCUAUAUGUGGUAAGUUAAGUGUUAUAUGUGCUAUGUAUGAUAUGUGGGCCGGAAGGCAAUAUGUUAUGGGCCGGAAGGCGAUUAUGUUAUGGGCCGGAAGGCGUUGUAAUGAGGACCGGAAGGUCAGGGCCUGGAAAGGCGUAUGUGCGUAAGUGUAUAUUGGGGAACUCACUAAGCAUUUAUGCUUACAGUUGUUGUGCAUGUAUUUCAGGUACUAGCGAGGACCGUGGGAAGGCGCCGGCAUGAUCGAUACACACUGAAGAUUGUUUUAUGAUCUUGGGAGUUUGAAUAAUUGUAUUGACCGAAUAAUUAAACUGUUUAUGCCUUGUUUUUAAUGGAAAUAAUUAUGUUUUAAAAAUGAAAAAUUUGUUUGAAAAAUUUGAGUUGUUACAAUUGGUAUCAGAGCCUUGGUUUGAGGGAUUCGGGUGCACCUUCGGGGGUAACUGAACUCAAACCGAGGAUUUGAGGAAACUUUUCAAAUAAAGGCAUAAACUUUUGUAAAUGGUUUUGUGGUAAGCAAGAAAGAAGCAGUGUGUACGAUCAGUCAGCGCCCGAACGGUAAAGAUCCCCAAAAUACCUUACAAUAUUAUAUGAUAUGAAUUGUUAUGCAUGCUAGAAGACUAGGUAUUCAUGAUAGGACUAGAGUGGCCUGAUUUGUGAUGCCUUAGUCUAGGGAAGUUGCCUAUAUGAGAUGCUUUGCUAGUAUGCGGGUAGAUAGAGCGUAUCAGAAGUAGAGUACUCACUAUCUGGAGUUUGGGGAGGAGGACUUGGGAUGAACAUUGAUGCGGUGUGGUCGGUAGUAUUGGGCCCGUACUACCGAGGACACCGGGUCAGUGGGAGGCCCAAGUAAGAAUCCCUGGAUAUCUGGGACUGAGUAGGGUUGCGUGUCGAGUACGAUUAUACUCGGUAGAAUCUCUGAUAGUUUUAUGUUGUAUUUCAGAGAUAUCAUGGUUAGACCGCGGCACGGGGCAAGUACGAGCGGUGUGAGUGACGAGGAUAUUCGUCAGAUGAUCCACGAGGAGGUGGCGGCGGCGAUCCGGGCUGAGAUCCCGGAGAUGUUUGGGUCUAUCAAGACCACCCUGAUGGAGACGUUCGACGAGCGGUACGCCGCAUUGACUGAGGCUGCAACCGCUGCAGCUACCGCAGCUGUGGCCGCUGCUAGGCCACAGGGGGGUGAUUCAUUGCUGUUCCGAGAGUUCAGCAACACGAAGCCACCAGAGUUCGAUGGGACGCAGGAUCCGAUUGCUGCGAUGAGGUGGAUCGCAGAUAUAGAGGGGUGCUUCUACACUUGUUCAUGCCCGGAGCACCUGAGGGUACGGUUCGCUUUGAACCAGCUCCGUCUGGGAGCCAAGGACUGGUGGAAGUUCGUGACGGCGAACUUCACUUUAGCAGAGACUGCGGCAGUGACAUGGGAGGGGUUCACUACCAUGUUCAGGGAUGAGUACGUUCCCCCGGUGGAGCGGGAACGAUUGGUUCAGGAGUUCUUAACCCUCAAGCAGGGUACUGAUUCGGUGGCGGCGAUCACGCGGAAGUUCCAUGAGAGGGCGAUGUUUUGCCCCGAGCUGGUGGCCACAGAGCAGGCUCGGAUGAGCCGGUACUUGGGUGUUCUGAGGAGGGAGAUCCGGGAGUUUGUGUCAAACUCCACUUACCAUACUUUUACUGAGCUUCAGGCGAAUGCCAGGAAGCGUGAGAUCGAGUUAGAGACUCAGGCCAGGGAGGAGGCCGAGUCUCAGCAGGCAGACCGGCGACCGGCUCAGUCUCAGCCGGCAGCCAAGCGGAUCAAGUCCGCCGAUUCGAGGACGGGAGGUUCGAAGAACCGCACUUGCGUAAAGUGCGGUAAGGGUCACGAUGGGGCGUGUCGAGCCGGUGCUUGCUACAAGUGUGGCAAGGAGGGACACAUUGCUAGGGAGUGUCCCAAGGGAUUUAUGGUUUGCUUUCAUUGCAACCAGACCGGCCAUCGGAAGGCCGAGUGCCCUCAGCUUCGUCAGGGAUCUGCACCUGUUGCCAGGACUACUGAGACUCGACCGGUGAAGGUCGAGGCCCCGAGGGCUCGUGGGAGAGCCUUUCAGCUGACUGCGGAGGAGGUCCGCGCUGCGCCCGAUGUUGUGGCAGGUAUGUUGUAAUUCAUGUAAUUAUUUUAAUGUCGAUAUGUUAUGCUUAUGUUAUUAUGCGCGUAGGUACUUUCCUUGUGAACUCUGUGCCUGCCUUAGUGUUAUUUGACUCGGGUGCGAGUAGGUCCUUUGUGUCCUUGGCCUUUAGUCAGCAUAUUGGCGUUAGUCGUGAGUCGUUGAGUCGACCUUUGAGAGUCUCUAUAGCUGACGAGAAGGUGAUUUGUGCUACGGAGGUUCUUCGGGGAUGUGUACUAGAGAUUUUCGGGGUUGGAUUCCCGAUUGACCUGAUUCCUAUCGCGAUGGGGGAUGUCUGUGUCAUCGUGGGCAUGGACUGGUUGAGCCGGUUCGGCGCUGUCAUCGACUGUGAGCGUCAGUUGGUGACUAUACGAGACCCAAGUGGGGGAGUUCUUUCGGUAUACGGCGAGGGUACCCGUUCGGGAUCAGCUUUUUGUUCGGCCGCUAGGGCGAGGCAGUGUCUACGGCAGGGCUGUAAGGGUUUCGUGGCGUAUGUGAUGGAUACGCGGGAGGUUUCUGAGAAACCGAAGUCAGUUGAGGAAGUUCCGGUGGUGCGCGAGUUUUCAGAUGUCUUUCCCGAGGAGUUGCCGGGAGUACCGCCUGUGAGGCAAGUAGAGUUUAGUAUCGAUCUGGUUCCGGGGGCAGCGCCUAUUGCUAAAGUGCCCUAUCGUCUUGCACCUCCAGAGAUGCAAGAGUUGUCCUCGCAACUCCAGGAGUUGCUGGGGAAGGGAUUCAUUCGGCCGAGCAGCUCGCCAUGGGGAGCACCUAUUCUGUUCGUCAAGAAGAAGGAUGGUUCACACCGGAUGUGCAUUGAUUACCGGGAGUUGAACAAGCUAACGGUCAAGAACCGUUACCCGUUGCCGAGGAUCGAUGAUUUAUUCGAUCAGUUGCAGGGAGCAUCUUGGUUUUCCAAGAUCGAUCUGAGGUCAGGAUACCAUCAGGUGAGAGUACGGGAUGAGGACGUCCAGAAGACAGCGUUUAGGACGCGAUAUGGGCAUUAUGAGUUUGUGGUGAUGCCUUUUGGACUCACCAAUGCCCCGGCUGUGUUCAUGGAUCUCAUGAACAGGGUAUGCAGGCCGAUGUUGGAUCGGUCAGUGAUUGUAUUUAUCGACGACAUUCUGGUGUAUUCGAGAUCUAGAGAGCAGCAUGAGGAGCAUUUGAGGGAGGUCCUUGAGGUAUUGAGGUCGGAGAAGCUUUAUGCAAAGUUCUCCAAAUGUGACUUCUGGUUGCGGGAGGUCCAGUUUCUAGGACAUGUGGUUAAUCAGAAAGGGAUAUUGGUCGAUCCGGCCAAGGUUGAGGCGGUGAUGAGUUGGGAGGUGCCGAAGUCACCCUCUGAGAUCAGAAGUUUCCUUGGGUUGGCAGGGUAUUAUCGGAGAUUUAUCAAGGAUUUCUCCAAGAUCGCAGUGCCACUCACCAGAUUGACCCGGAAGGGUGUUACAUUCUCAUGGGGGCCCGAGCAGCAGACCUCCUUUGAGACACUUCGCCAGAGAUUGUGCGAAGCCCCGGUAUUAGCUCUUCCAGAAGGGAUGGAAGAUUUCGUGGUAUAUUGCGACGCAUCGAUUUCGGGAUUGGGUGCAGUGUUAAUGCAGAGGGGUCAUGUGAUAGCUUAUGCGUCGAGGCAGCUGAAGCCUCAUGAGGCGAGAUAUCCCACGCAUGAUUUAGAGUUGGGGGCAGUAGUGUUCGCUCUCAAGAUUUGGCGUCACUACUUGUAUGGGGUUCGAUGUACGAUAUACACGGACCAUAAGAGUUUGAAGUAUUUGAUGGAUCAACCCAACCUAAAUAUGCGUCAGAGGAGGUGGUUGGAUGUGGUCAAGGAUUAUGAUUGUGAGAUCCUGUACCACCCAGGCAAGGCUAAUGUGGUAGCCGAUGCAUUGAGCCGCAGGGCGGAGAGCACUCCAUUGCGAGACGUAUGCUUGAGACUGACUGUGAUGACUCCAGUAUUGGACGCUAUUCGUGGGGCCCAGGCGGAGGCUGUGCGACCAGAAAUGCAGAAGAAAGAGCGGGUUGUGGGGUUAAUCUCAGAGUUUGUCAAGGAUAGUCGAGGCCUUAUGACGUUUCAGGGUCGGAUUUGGGUACCGUUCGUGGGCGGUACGCGUAUUACGUUGAUGGAAGAGGCUCAUAGAUCGAAAUUCUCGAUCCAUCCCGGUGCUACAAAGAUGUAUUUGGAUUUAAGGAAGGAAUAUUGGUGGCCCUGUAUGAAGAGGGACGUGGCAUGGUUCGUUGAGAGGUGCUUGACCUGCCGUAGGGUUAAGGCUGAGCACCAGAGACCGCAUGGCAAGUUACAGCCAUUGGAGAUCCCCGAGUGGAAGUGGGAACAGAUUACUAUGGAUUUUAUCACCAAAUUGCCGAGGACUGCUAGGGGAGUUGACGCAAUUUGGGUGAUCGUGGAUAGGUUGACAAAGAGUGCACACUUCCUUGCCAUCAGUGAGAGUUCUUCGGCGGAGAAAUUGGCGGAGAUAUACGUGAGAGAGGUGGUAUCUCGGCACGGGGUGCCGAUCUCGAUUGUGUCAGACCGUGAUGUGCGCUUUACUUCCAGAUUCUGGAAGAAAUUCCAUGAGGAGCUGGGUACUAAAUUGCAUUUUAGUACCGCAUACCAUCCCCAGACAGACGGUCAGAGCGAGCGGACAAUUCAGACACUGGAGGACAUGCUCCGAGCGUGUGUGUUAGACUUCGGGGGUAGUUGGGAUGCGUAUUUACCAUUGGCAGAGUUUUCCUACAACAACAGCCAUCAUUCGAGCAUUGGUAUGCCGCCUUUCGAGCUGUUGUAUGGUAGGAGGUGUCGGACUCCCAUUUGCUGGGGAGAGGUGGGACAGAGAGUGAUGGGCAGCACGGAGAUCAUACUCCAGACGACAGAGCAGAUUCAACAAGUGAGACAAAGAUUAUUGACUGCCCAGAGCCGACAGAAGAGUUAUGCAGACAGGCGCCGAUCCGAGCUUGAAUUUCAAGUCGGCGACUUCGUUCUCCUGAAGGUCUCUCCUUGGAAAGGAGUGAUUCGGUUCAGGAAGAGAGGCAAGUUGGGGCCCCGGUAUAUUGGGCCAUUUCGUGUGAUUGCAAGGAUAGGUCGGGUAGCCUACCGGUUGGAGUUGCCAGCGGAGUUGGGUCAGAUCCAUGACACUUUUCAUGUGUCGCAGUUGAGGAAGUGCAUAGCCGAUGAGUCGGCAGUGGUUCCAUUGGAGGAUAUUCAGGUGGAUGCGAGCCUGAAUUACGCGGAGAGACCAGUGGCUAUCAGGGAUCGGAAGAUCAAGGUUCUGAGGAACAAGGAGGUACCUCUGGUGUUGGUUCAAUGGCAACACCGUAAGGGAUCAGAAAUGACUUGGGAACCGGAGCGCGAAAUGCGGGAGCAGCAUCCGGAACUAUUUGCAGAGUGAGACUUCGAGGGCGAAGUCUAAUCCAAGUGGGGGAGAGUUGUAACAGCCCGGAAUCUCAGGUAUUAUUAAAAUUAUGUUUUUGGGGUGAUUUAAGAGGGGACUCGGCGAGUUGGAGCCUAGACUCGCCGAGUAGGAUCGCAGACUUGGUCGCGGGUCCGCGACUGGACUCGACGAGUCCAGAUAUGGACUCGGCGAGUCGACGCUGUUUAGCGGAAACCCUAACCGUUCAGGUUUGGGACGUAUAAAAGGGGUCCAUUGGCCGUCAUUGUUCGUUUUAGCCUUCUGAGAAGAACCCUAAAUCGAUUUAGUGCAGCAGGAGCAAGGAUCUUAGGCCAUUGUUGGUUAUAGAAGAGUGGGUGUGCAAGGAAGAGGAAGGAUUGGCUAAAAGAGCAGCAAGGGGUCACAUUCUGAGGAUUGGGAAUACAGAGAAUACAUCAUCCAGGUAAGAAUUCGUGUAUGCUCUGCUAUAUUGAUGUAUUUAUGAAAUUAGGGUUUAUAGAACCCAUUUAGUGAUUUGAUGAAGUAAUGCCUUGUUACCCCACGACUAUAAUCUUGUAUUAGGACCUUUAGAGGUCCAGAAGGUCCCAUGCAUGUGUACUUCGGGACGAGACCUAUCUCAGGAAGCAGUUACUCGUCUGCAUGGCAUGGACUCGCCGAGUUGUUCUUCAGACUCGGCGAGUAGCUUGAAGAUUUACUGGGACUCGCCGAGUUGUUCUUCAGACUCGGCGAGUGGAGUCGGGGUGGCCCCGCGAUUCUUCCAGGAGUGACUCGUCGAGUCAAAGAGGAUACUCGACGAGUAGAAGGGGAAUCUUAGAGGAUUGAAGGACGACCAGACUCGCCGAGUCGCCAGGGAACUCGCCGAGUCCAGUCGAGCUGACAAUGGACUGUUGACCAGAGUUGACUGGGGUGAUUUCUUAGGGCCAGUUAACGUGGAAGAUAGAAGUAUUAAUAAGGGAUAUAUGAUGAUACAGGGAGCUUGUAGCUCGGAGGAUCAAGUGCAAGGGAUUUUAGGAGUUGCUAUCUUCCAGUGUCUACGAGGUGAGUCUUCUCACUAUACUGUACCCGGAAGGGUUUGACUGUGUGACCGGAAGGUCGGAUAUGAUAUGUGAUAUGUAUGCUAUAUGUGGUAAGUUAAUUGUUAUAUGUGCUAUGUAUGUUAUGGGCCGGAAGGCGAUUAUAUUAUGGGCCGGAAGGCGAUUAUAUUAUGGGCCGGAAGGCAUUAUGUUAUGGGCCGGAAGGCGAUAUGAUGUGUGAUGGACCGGAAGGUCGGCGUGGGUAAGGCCGGAAGGUUUACCCAGCAGGGACGGAAGUCCCCUGAGACACAUGGACCGGAAGGUCGGGCCUGGAAAGGCGUAUGUGCGUAAGUUGUAUAUUGGGGAACUCACUAAGCUUCGUGCUUACGUUGUUUAUGUUAUGUUGUUUCAGGUUCUUUCAGUAACGCGGGAUGGCAACGGUUCGAUUGUACACACCGAAGAAAGAGUUGUGCUUUGGAGGAUCCUGGUUGUCUAUUCAAAUGAAAAUGAAACUAUAUUUUGUAAUUCGAAUGUGAAUAAGAUUUAAAGAAGUGUUUUAAUAUUAAAUUGAUUAUUUAAAUGAAAUAUUGUAUUUUUGGAAAUCA